RNA transcript from Bactrocera oleae (olive fruit fly), 2191 nucleotides. It is a transcript of the gene named transmembrane reductase CYB561D2, with no coding region annotated. The record is from RefSeq and is a predicted model, not a curated record. NCBI's taxonomy places the organism in Eukaryota, Metazoa, Arthropoda, Insecta, Diptera, Tephritidae.
GUUGCUUGAGUUCAGUAGGGUUUUGACGUUUAUCAAUGCGCUCUCAUUCAGUGAGAACAGGUUGGGCAUCUCCUUAUCUCUGGCAUACACGUUAGUUACACUCCAAACACACAUCGCAUUUCAACGAACGCAACGUCGUGCUAACGAGAAUAUGGCAAAUAUUUGACGCCACAAAUUAGUUUUGAUCAAAUAACAUUUUUACUUAAAAGUGCUUAUUUAAAGUGAAAUUUUUUGCGCAUUCGCGAAACAUAAAAGCUCAAAAUGUCAGCAAAAAGUGAUAAAGUGCCUAAGACAGGAGCGCCGGCUGCGGCGGCGACGUCAUCGUCGAGAAGAGCGCCCUACUCCAUUUGGCUGCAGUUGCAAAGUCUCCUCAACACUAUCAAUCACAUUUUGAUCGCACUAAUUGGCGUCUACUUCACCGCCUUGGGACGCAGUCUGGACUUCCAAAACACCGCUAUGCAUGCCUUCCUAACCACCAUUGGGUUCCAUGUCUUAAUGGCCGAAGCGCUCAUGUCACAUUAUCCAAUCAACUUCGUAACGAAUCGUUUCGCUCACCGCACUAAAUCAAAAAUUCACGGUGUCCUACAAUUGGUGGGUGGUGCCAUGGCUUUGCUGGGCGCGCUUGGUAAAAUCUCGCAGACGGAAGUGCACUUCACCACGUUGCAUGGCAAAAUAGGUCUUGCUGCCACAUUCUUCUGCUUCGCCAGUAUUACCGGCGGCAUCGUCAACUAUUUCCAACCAAGUUUCGUACAUAAAUUUUACACACCGGCCGUGGUGAAAUGCAGGCACAAUUUCUUUGGUAUGGUCACCUUUACGCUGGGCAUGUGGAGCAUACUCAUCGGCUACCGCACAAAGUUCACCUAUAAACAUGUGGAUCCGGAAUUUAUUGCGGCCUUAAGUUUGGCGACGCUUUUGGUGUAUAUCUUCACAAUGAUUGCGCCGAUGCGUUCAUUUUUAGACAAACUUAAAUAUAGGAAGCCACAUCGUAAAUAAGCACUUACUACAUGCUUAUACUAAGUAUGCUUACUCGUAGUUUUUUUGAAGUAUUUAGCAGUGGCGAUAAGAAUUAAAAUUAAAAUUGUGAAAUGUGAAGAGUUAUAAGCUUAUACCAUCUGAUCAAAUAUGACCCGGAUCUAACACAAAUACAGGUUGGUUGAUAAUUUUAUGCUCUCACUAAGAAAUAGCACUACUACUCCAAUUUUUUUUCUCAAGUUGGUACAUCUGUCUUGUGAACACAUGCAAAGCUACAAGUCAUUCUGAAAAAUAAUUUUUUGUUUACAAGCCAUUUGAAGUUGACGUGUCAGAGUAUUUUUUUUAUAUGGAAAAAAAUUAAAUAUCACGCAGAGAUUAGAUUCUUUGUUUUGAAAGGUUUAAAAGCAAAGAAAAUUUAUGUUCAAUUGUUAGAAGUGUAUAAGGAGUCCUCACCUUUAAAACGCAUCGUUGAAUUUUGGGCUUGUGAAUUUAAACGUAGUCGUACUAAGCUUGAAGACGAUACACGCGAAGGACGACCAAAAACCGCAACCACACCAGAAAUCGUGAGCAAGUUCAUAGUAUUGUUAGUGAAGAUCAAAGUUUGAAUAAGCUUCAUAUUUUACAUGGAGAAUUACAUAUGAAAUAGCUGUUUGGAAAGUUAGUGCCGCGCACAUGUUAACAAUUCAACAAAAACUGGUUCAAAAACACAUUUCUCAGCAUAAUUUGUAGCGUUUUAAGAAUAAAACCGAUUUCUUGCGUCAUAUAACGUUGGAUGAGACUUGGAUCUACCGCCAUGAUCCUAAAUUGAAACAAGAACAUUUACAGUGGACUGAAGCUGGUUGUACAGCUCCAAAGCAGGUGAAGUCACAACGAUCAGGUUAAAGCAUAGUUUUUUUGGGAUGCAAAAGGAAGGAAGGUUGAUUGAUUAUCUGCAGAAAGGUAAAACAAUCAACUCUGAAUACUAUUAAAUUUUGGAUUGGCUGAAUGAAAAAAUUCGUGAGAAAAGACAAGCGACUACUAACUCUUCAGAAACCUGAAACAAUUCCUGCGUGGAAUGAAGAAGCUAUUACAGCAGUAGACGGGCAUUUUGCAGAGCUUCUGGAAAGUCAUUAUAGGGAUAGCAUAAAAUUAUUAGAGGACCAUUGGAAUAAGUGUACCAUUGGAAUAAGUGUGUUAAGGGAGAUCAUAUUGAAUAAAAAAAUAUAUUUCGUACCAAAAA